CCUACGGGUGGCAGCAGUGAGGAAUAUUGGUCAAUGGCCGUAAGGCUGAACCAGCCAAGUCGCGUGAAGGAAGAAGGAUCUAUGGUUUGUAAACUUCUUUUAUAGGGGAAUAAAGGUAUCCACGUGUGGAUAUUUGCAUGUACCCUAUGAAUAAGCAUCGGCUAACUCCGUGCCAGCAGCCGCGGUAAUACGGAGGAUGCGAGCGUUAUCCGGAUUUAUUGGGUUUAAAGGGUGCGUAGGCGGGAUGCCAAGUCAGCGGUCAAAUACGGGGGCUCAACCUGCGUCCGCCGUUGAAACUGGCGUUCUUGAGUGGGCGAGAAGUACGCGGAAUGCGUGGUGUAGCGGUGAAAUGCAUAGAUAUCACGCAGAACCCCGAUUGCGAAGGCAGCGUACCGGCGCCCGACUGACGCUGAAGCACGAAAGCGUGGGUAUCGAACAGGAUUAGAUACCCGGGUAUC
Molecule: ribosomal RNA, 458 nt
Filed under: uncultured bacterium
Lineage: Bacteria
Description: partial 16S ribosomal RNA
Rfam family: Bacterial small subunit ribosomal RNA
Source: RNAcentral